Molecule: ribosomal RNA, 498 nt
Filed under: uncultured bacterium
Lineage: Bacteria
Description: partial 16S ribosomal RNA
Rfam family: Bacterial small subunit ribosomal RNA
Source: RNAcentral
AUUGAACGCUGGCGGCAUGCCUUACACAUGCAAGUCGAACGGUAACAGGUCUUCGGAUGCUGACGAGUGGCGAACGGGUGAGUAAUACAUCGGAACGUGCCCGAUCGUGGGGGAUAACGCAGCGAAAGCUGUGCUAAUACCGCAUACGAUCUACGGAUGAAAGCGGGGGAUCUUCGGACCUCGCGCGGACGGAGCGGCCGAUGGCAGAUUAGGUAGUUGGUGAGGUAAAGGCUCACCAAGCCGACGAUCUGUAGCUGGUCUGAGAGGACGACCAGCCACACUGGGACUGAGACACGGCCCAGACUCCUACGGGAGGCAGCAGUGGGGAAUUUUGGACAAUGGGCGCAAGCCUGAUCCAGCCAUGCCGCGUGCAGGAUGAAGGCCUUCGGGUUGUAAACUGCUUUUGUACGGAACGAAAAGGUUCUUUCUAAUAAAGAGAGCUCAUGACGGUACCGUAAGAAUAAGCACCGGCUAGCUACGCGCCAGCCGCCGCCGUAA